UAUAAAUAAUUUCAUUACAGCACUAAUCAAUUUCCAUAUUUAUUUCCACAAUUUCUGAUGCUUGAUGUGUAUAAGUAGUUUCAGCUUCUUUCCGCCAGGGUACAUGGUCCAGUCCAUAAACAAAAAAUACCAGGACUGGAAACUCGGCGGUCAACUGAAGUUUGCCUACAAGCUGGGAGGUGUGGUGAAUGUCGUGAAUCUAUCAUUUGCUCGUGUCCGAUGUGUGGUGAAUGUCGUGAAUCUAUAAAUGUGUGCGUGUAAACGUCAUUUACCAACGUGGUGGCUUUCACAUAUAUUCACAGACAGCACUGUACACAAAAGGGUUUUGGGGUUAAAGACGUACGAAAGUUUCCAGUCUUGGUAUUUUUUGUUUAUGGUCCAGUCCAUUAACAAAAAAUACCAAGACUGCCCUUCAAGCAAGAAAACUGAGUUCAACAAAGAGACUCCGACCUCCACUCACACACUUGCAACUUUUUGUGUAUGAACACAAAAGUCGAACGAGAAUCGUGGUGAAAAAGUGCGAAAAGGAAAACACCAUAUGAUAGAGGCAAGUGCAACCCCAUUUUGCAAAUUUGUUUAAACGUCAAAAUUAAUAAAACAAUAAAAAAAAGCGAGUGCUGAUCAUUUUAGAACUAACUGUUUUGAACCAUGAAGCAGAAGUUGGUAAAACAAUUGGUAAUCCUGUACAAUUUACUGGUGAAGCAACAAUCGCCAAUAAACACGCAACAGCACCUGCUGCUCCACCAAAAUUGGCCAGUGAAUCAACAUACCCAUCGAAAACAACCAGUGGAAAUUUGCCCAGUGCACCACAUACAAACCCAAUUUACAUUGGAAAAAAAACCAACCCCUUUAUCCGAGGGUACACCCAUGCAUCUGGAUGUGAUGCGAAUGACUGGGAAUCGACAGCAGAGAAUAACGAAUCAGCAGGAGAUAUCAACAAAGGAAUUCAUCGUGUAUUCACUAAAGUGGAGUGGAAGGUUCACCAACAACAGCAGCAACAACAAAUGAAAAGAUUUAUUUUAUUAAAUAUUUAUUUUAAAAUUAGGGGUAUUCACGAUCCGAUGCAACUGGUCUAGUAUCAUUGCAAAAGUGCAAAAGUGUAAAAUCUUGCAACACUACAACAACAAAAUAUAUGGAUUGAAAUUUUACAAUGGUCUUGCACUUUUGCUAUACCCUAACCCUAUUGCAAAAUAAAAAUACAAUGGUGUACAUUUUUUUUUGAUGGUAGCUCGUCGUCGCGUGUCGCCCAUGAUGAACAGUUUAUAUUUUUUAUUCUUAUUCUUUUUUAUUUUGUUUCUUUUGAUGUAAUUUGUGAAAAUAAAUUAACCCGAACACAACAAAGAAUGAAAUUAUAAAAAAAUUUAAAAAAAAGAAGAAGCAUCGGUGGAAAGACUACUCCGUAAAAAAAAAGAGUGAAGCUGAUAUAAAUCAUAUCAUGGAUUCCAUUCAAUAUUUACUAUAGAUAAGAAGAGGUGCGUCCACGAUCUAUUGUAAAAAAAUAAAAUUUUACACUUUUACUAGGCCUGUUGCACCAGAUCGUGAAUACCCCUAUUGUAUUUAUUGUAAUUUCUUUUGCUAAAAAAACAUUAAAAUUUAAAAAAAAAAACAUUUUCUGUGAACAAAAGUGAUAAA
Episyrphus balteatus (marmalade hoverfly) is the source of this 1632-nucleotide long non-coding RNA. RefSeq lists it as uncharacterized. The transcript has 3 exons. The record is from RefSeq and is a predicted model, not a curated record. Lineage: Eukaryota; Metazoa; Arthropoda; Insecta; Diptera; Syrphidae.